AGAAAGAGAGACAGAGAGAGAUAGAAAGGUGCUCAUUAUGCACACACAGCAGUACAGCACUGUAGCCCGGCGUCACUGAGCAGGAGGGGUGAAGGAAGAGAGAGAGAGAGAGAGAGAGAGAGAAAGAGAGGGCGAGAGAGGUUUGGAGAGAACAGUGCAGUUUGCUGCAGUAAAAACCUGAUUUUGUGCAUCCGCUCACUUCUUCUCUCCCUUUCCUCUGUGUUACUGUAGAAAAGAGACAUGUUUGAAAUGCUUCUGAUUUAGUUGCUUUUAAAGUAUUAGGCUAUUUCAAUCCAUUUUGCUCUCUUUCUGAUCCUAUCCCAUCUCUGUUUGCCCCCCUCCCUUACCUUUUCUCCGUCUCUCUUCCAGCAACAACCCCCCCAUCCCUUGCUCUCCAAUUCCGCAUUAAGGAAUCGCAACUCACUGAGAACGACUCUAGAGUCCAGCACCAGUAUCACUUACUUUUCUCUUUUCCACUACUGUACAUCACCUCCUUUAAGCCUAUUCCCUCUUCAUUUCAUUUCACAAGCACUUUAUUCCUCUUCCAUCAGUCUUUUUUUCCUGUUUUAUUAUUUUUGCCAGCUAGAAGCUAAUUUCCUCCAUUUUCUGCCACUUUAAUUUCUAUUCUAUUCUAUUUUUUUCUAGGCAGUCUGGAGAAUGAGUUAGUCAACUCUCACAGAACUGCCUUUAGACGGCUUGAGCAAGAGGGAGAUAGAAAGAAAGUCAAGAAAGAGGAUGGACAUUUUAAAGUAAGGGGGCUCACAAAGAGAAGGUGAGAAAGACAACCAGAAAAAGAGCAGAAAGGCAAGAAAAAACAGGGUUCAGAGAUCAUGUGAACAGCAUGAGAAAUCCUGACUCACAGCGUGAGGGAGACAAGAUGUCACGCGUGGGCGGGGGGAGGACUCACGCGAGUGCGGUAGGUGAUUGUGACGUGGCGCGGUCGGC
This is a long non-coding RNA of Carassius auratus (goldfish), 945 nucleotides long. RefSeq lists it as uncharacterized. The record is from RefSeq and is a predicted model, not a curated record. The transcript has 3 exons. Lineage: Eukaryota; Metazoa; Chordata; Actinopteri; Cypriniformes; Cyprinidae.